AAUGUGAUACAGAGUGAAGCUGGCUCAUGUCUGUGUAUGUGAUAUUAAGUUGGAACUGCUUUUUGGCUGUCAUCAUGGACCAUGUCACCACUUUGUCACCUGACUCCUAGAUUUUGUCAACUGUAGCUGGGUGUCUGAGAUCACUUCCAUCCCUGUGGAAUGUGCUUGCAGUGUUUGCAUGAAGUCCAGUCCGCUCAGACUCCCACACAGAGAUCACUGCUGAUGGAGCUGGUUUACUUGUAUCCUCUACAUUGGUGAGAUUAAUAUAAAGCCCUUCAAUGAGGAGGAGGAGCAAGAGGACUCCAAGAAUGUCAAGGAAGGAAGCACCCCCUCCAGCCAUUUGAUCGUAAGCUUGCUUUGAUAAAAUAAAAUAAGUAAUGACCAUUUACCUACAGCUUUUUAUCUCACCCGAAGUUGUAAUUGAGCGUUUCUCAUCCAGUUUGUUUUUCUUUCACUGAAAUAAGGAGGGAAAAAAAGAAGAAAGUUUCACAGAACCCUAGCAAUCAGUCUCCCAGCAUCUGUUUACACUUCGUAGAAUGACUGAGUAUGUGUGAAAAGAAAAUGGCAGAAAGCAAUGGCCCCAUUCCUAAACUCCUGAGGACAUUCAGUUUCUUUCCUCUCACAUUCCCUGGCUCAUCAACUGCUCUUCCCCAAAGAAGUUUCACCCUGUAUGUGCACAAAUGUGCUAUUUGGUGCUUAGGUUAACUUUAAUACUUGAAUAUUUUAUCCCUUGGUUCUUCAGUAGCUUUCACGAUUCCCUCUGCACUUAGGUGACUGUGGUAGAUGCAGCAUAAACAACAGGAUUCAUUGGCAUCUGCUUUCACAGGUUUUUCUUAUUUUCUCUAAAGUAAUAGCUCUCAAAAAUUGGAAACUAUUCUUUAAGUUUUGUUAAAACUCUGAAGGUGUAUCACAAAACAUGAUUGAACAAAGAAAUACAAAGAGAAGAUGAUGGGGAAGAAAGGACUCAAAAUUCUGAUGGAGGACCAAUAAGAUAGACUGGGAAUAAUCAUCUUGAUGUCUUAUAUAUUUGCCUUUUGUAUUUAUGAGAAAAUCACAAUAAGCAUGCUAGCCCAUAACAUCACUCUUGUAAGCUUCUUGUUCAGUUCCUGUUUAACUACAUUAAAACCUGUCUGUAAGAGCCCCACUGGGAGAGGAAAAACAUUCUCUUUGCUGGCAAGUGGUCUUUUUGUAAACACCUUCCAAUUGAAAGCACAUGUUUCUGGGUGUGAGGAGGCUCCUAGUAAGUUCCAGGGGAGCCCAUGCCAGGGAAUGAUUGAAUUACAUAGGCAAAUGCAAGAUAAUCAUGCUUAGCUCUCCCUUCCAAAAUAUACAUGGAGGUUUUUAGUGUCACAAAGCAGCUGUCUAUCCUGCUCAUCUCCACAUCUAAAUUGAAAGUCUUUCUUAGCAGUCCUACAAUGUGAUUCAACAUGGACAACCUUUCUUAUCAGUGUUAACCUAAGACCCCCAUGUUUCGUUCCCCUUCUCUAGGUCUUUUCUACCAAGAAGAAGUAGGCUACUAAGAACAUAGGCUUGAUCUUCUUAGGAAUAAGUUCUCCCCAUCAAAACCUCAUAUUUCUUCACAGUUGAUUAAAGAGAGAAGAGUUGCCAAAGUAAAUGUCUUUCCAAUGAAAAACCAAAAGAAAAAUGAUUUUCUUAAUGUAGGAAGAGUAAUAUGUAAACGAUCAUUGAAAAACAAAUAGAUAAAAAUGUGCGAAAAAUACUCUGUGUGGCUAAUACUCUGAUAAGUUUCUAUUACAUUGCUUGGAAAGAAGAGUGAGUUUGUUUCGUGGUAGAACUCAAUUAAAUUUUGGAAGUACAAAAACCAUGAAGACAUUUCCCUAAUAUCCCAAACAUUAAAACAUAAUCGAAGCUGGACUCAGUGGUGCACACCUGCAAUCCCAACUCAGGAAGUGGAGACUGGAGGAUUGCGAGUUCAAAACCAGCUUCAGCAACUUAGUGAGGCUCUAAGCAACUUAGGGAGACACUUUCUCAAAAUAAAAAAUAAAAAGGGCUGGGAAUAUGACUCAGUGGUUAAGUGCUCCUGGGUUCCAUCCCUAGUACCAAAAAUAAAAAAAAUUUAAAAAAAAUGGUGAUUUCACACAGGCUGUGAAUAAUUGCCUAAAAAUGGGGAAAUUUAUUGUACUCCAAACCCCAAAAUGUUUGAUAAGUGAACUAUACCUCACAAAUACCAGUGAAAAAAGGUCAGAUUGAUCGUGUUUUAAGCAACUUGUUAUUUAAUUAAGAUUUUCUGCAUCAACACUCACUUUCUUCUCAAAACACUAAUGAUCUAUGAUGUAGUUUUGCUUGAAACUGCAAAGGUUUUACACUGGCUGAAAGUGGUAUCAUACUUUUGUUCUCACUCAAUAACUGUGUUUUGAACAUUUACUACAGAAAGGGAAUAUAAAGGGGAAAGCCACAAUGCUUAGAUUGGAAAAUAUGGAAAAUGAAGCAAGUUCCUCUUUUCUUCUUAAAAGAAACGGCUUGUGUUAUACUUGUAUUCUGUCGCUUUAUGUAUGAAGUAGCUUAUGAAAAUGGAGCAGUAAACAUGCACAUUAGCAAUCCCAGAAGCUGCUUGAGUAACCCCCAAAAAAGAAGUAAAGAAAAUAUUAGAUCAUCCUACAGUUAAUACAAACUAGUUUGAAACUGUGGGAAACAUGCUAAUUCCAACCAAAAAAAAAAUCAUAAUCAUACUUUGUUUUUAUAUAGUGCUUUUCAGACAUGACUUCAUUAUUUAUCAGGACAUUCUUCUGAGCAUAGGUAGCAAGGGUUUCCUCCAGUUUAUAGAGGCAUAAACGUGGGCACAGAAAGAUUAAUUGAUUUCUGCUGGGCAGAGAAAAUUCAUGCUAAAAGAGGAGAGAGACCAACUUUCACAAAGGACUGCAAAGCUUGCUAUUUCUCCAAAAUAUGGAACCCAUGUAAUCAUUCACCUCUGCCACAUGUUCUUAGUCUUUUCCACAACACUGAUACUAACCAUUUUCAUAGUACUGAUUUUAAAUGUUUGGAUUUUGUCUAUUCAUUGCUUUAUACUAAUAACCAGACCCACAUAAACUGUAGUCUUUGAUUGGUUGAAUGGCAUGUCACUGACACAUAACAAAGAAAAGAUAAAAAUCUGUCAAUGGCCAAGUUUUAAUUCAAGAAAGCACAAAGGGUCCAGCUUAGAAUUGUCCUUACUUACUCCCAGCAAGUAUUAUUUAAUGCCAGAAAGAAACAUAAUGAGAGAAAUUUCAGAAGCCUAUGGUUUCAAAGAAAUUGGUAACAUAAUUAUACUACCUUUAUGAAAAAAACAUUUUUAGGAGAUUGUUUUACUUAUGAAAUUUUCCUUAUUGAAAAUAUUUUCUCUGCUGCCACCAAUUUUUCCAAUUUCCACCACUCAGUAACUCAUUCAUUGAAUUAAUAUUCAUCAGGUACUUAUAUUAUACCUGAAAAUUUCACUUGAUGUUGAGGAUCUGGUGAUAAGAUAGGCAUAAUCCUUAUUUCCAAGAAAUUUAUAAACUGUAAUCAUGAACACUAAUUCCCACAGUGACCAAACAAAAUAUCAUAAAGGAGGAAGCUUGGGCUGGGGAUGUGGCUCAAGCAGUAGCACGGUCGCCUGGCAUGCGUUCCGCCCAGGUUCCAUCCUCAGCACCACAUACAAACAAAGAUGUUGUGUCCGCCGAAAACUAAAAAAUAAAUAUUAAAAAAAAUUCUCUCUCUCUCUCUUUAAAAAAAAAAGGAGGAAGCUUGUUCUAUCAGGGAGACAACAGAAAAAGGAGAUAAUUCCCUUGUAAGGGGGUUGUUCCAUGAAAGGAUAGGCCCCAGUGCAGACAGAUUAUGGAUUUUUCAAGAGAAGCUCAAGUCUUUUGGUUCAUUGUAUGCUUUUUUAAUUGUGGAAUUACUUGCAAUUAAAUGCUUUUUAAAUUGUGCGUGCCAUGUUGUAUUUUCUUACAGACAUCAUAGGACUUAAGAGCAGAUUUUCUGGCCUUAAAUACUGAUUUUGCUCUUUCCGGAUGUGUGAAAUUGGACAAAUUACUCUGUUUUCAUUUUCUCAGCUGUAAAACAAAAUCAUGAGGAGUUUGUCUAUUAAAUAGGUUUGUUUAUAUAUUGUUUUAGAGCAGAACCUAUACACAACAGUCACUCAAUUAAUAUUUUUUAUUAUUACUAUAGUUUUGAGGAAAGAUGUGAUUAAUGAAGCUUCUACCAUAACAAAAGGACUCUGUGAGGGAGUUCAGAAUAUGGUGAAAUAGAAAAAAUGAUCCUUGACUUCACUCCCUGUAGUAUCUGUAUGGUAGGAGGCAAAACAUGGAAAUCAGAGGCACCCUUCCUGAGGAAAUUAUAUUGGAAGGAACAGUAGAACCCAGCCUGACCCAUUGUAGAUUCUAAAGCAGUCUAGUUUGGUGUACACACAGUCUGCAAGAAAAAGUGUGGUGAAUGCUGGGGCUGGAAAGGUAUUCAGGGGUUAAGUCAACUUUAAGAACAAUAGGAAAGCAACAGAAGAGCAACAUACUUUGCAUUUUCAAAAGUUCACUUUUAUUGCUACAUGGAGAAUAUAGACAUCCAACAGAUAAUAGACAGGUGGUACAUUUGGACAUUUUGAUGGGAAUCCAGGUUAAAAAAAAAUGGUGGCAUUAAAGUAGUGUUCAUGGUGAUAGAAAGGAACAAGUUAGAGUGCUUAAAAAUAUUUAUUGCGAUAAAUUGAUGUUUAGAUGGUUUCUGGAACUAAAGGAAAAAAGACAUUAGAGAUGAUUCUCAGUUUUCUGGAUUUGGUUUGGUUUAGUUUGAAAAAUUAAGUGCAUGCUGGUGCCAUUCAAUGAGAUGAGAAUUCUCAAAGGGCCACAGAUUUUGUCAGGGGGAAACGAAGUAGCAGGUUUCACAGGAUGAAUUUGAGAUGCCUGGGAGAUACCCAGGCAGAAAUAUGGGCAGGUGGAUAUGUGACUUCAGAAGUCAACCUCAAUGUUUGUCCUCCACAAAAUCACCCAUGGUCACCUCAGUGGGAAGCCCUAUUUAAACUCUGGAUGACUCUUCAUGUGUAGGAAUUUGAAGAGCUUAUUUUGUGGUGUCACAAUUUACAGUUUAACAGACAACAUGAUCUAAAUUUUGGGUUACUUACACUCUAAAAACUCAAGUUUUUCAAGCAAAUUUUAAAAGAAAUAUUUUUUCUGAAUGUUUGGGAUUGUUUCCUUAAUCUUACAUCAGCCAGAUAGCCCAUUUGUUUGCUGAGAACCAAUAUGGAUUUUGAAAUUCAGCAUUUUCCUGUUAUUAUGAAAUAAGACUUUUGUUUUUAUAAGCAACAGGUGUUUGACUGGAGAGAUGAUUCCUGUGCUAUUAAUACCAGAGAUUUAAUGAAUGCUUUGUUUACAGAUAUAUAUUUAUAACUUGUAAUUCUUUCAUUUAGUAGGCCCUGACAGGUAGAAGUUUAACAAUGAAUCUCAGAUAAAAACCUCUUUCCUCAUAGAGAUUAUAACCAAUGGAGAAGACAGAUAGGGAAGAAAUAAUAGUACAGCACGUCAUAUAUAAGAUGGUUGUGAUUUAUUGGGAGUAAAAUUAAAACUGAGAAAAUGGAAAGGAAACGUGGAGAAGAGGUAUUUUCAAUUUUCAGUGGGAUACCCCACUGAAAAAAUGAAGCCUCACAAUGAAGAUGACUCUUGAGAAUUGGCCUAAAGGAGAUGCAGGAAGAGGCUAAGCACAGACAAUUCUUCUGGAGAGAUUUGACAUAAACAGAAACAGAGAAAAGAGAGCUUUGUUGAAAGAAACACAGAAUUCCUAAAUAUUUGUUGAAAUAUAUAGGAAUAUAUAUUUAGGAGAGUGGUGAUAUAAAAAGGGGAUUUUUGUUGUUGUUGUUGUUUUAAAAAAAUUUUUUUUGAAAACUUAUUUAGAGAAAUAAUUUUCUUCUGCCCAUGAUAGCGAUAUAGAUUUUAACUAACAAACAAAAAUCAAGAAGUACAUAUCAGUACAGAUUUAAUUCUAUUCUGGGGCCUAUCCUAUAAACUAUGCCAUUCUAACGCCAAGAUAUUUUCAUUCCAAAGUGAUAUUUUACUUAACAACUAAAAUUUUUAAAAAAUUAAAUUUUCAUGCACAAUGAAAUCAGAUGUGGAAACCCAGAAAAAUUUAAAAUGUGAAUCAGUUUACUGGAAUAUUUUAUUUAAAUGAAAUAUGAUUCCCUGUGAUCUGGGACCCAAUAAUAAUCCUAGAAUUAUGUAAUUAUUAUAUUUGCCCAAGGGAAAAAAAAACAUGAUUUCUAAACUAAAUGAAUUAUACCUAUUACUAAUGUUCCUAUGGGCUUUUAACAUUUAUUCAGUUUAGUUUAUAUUUCAUCUGGAAGUCUUUUGCAGAAAAUCUGGAAUGAUUUUCACUUAGUUGGAAAGUGAGAAACUUUGGAAAAUAUUCAACCUCUGUGUAGUAGGUGCUGAAUAAAUGUUAGUUAAGUGGAUGAAUGCAUGCAUUAAUGAAUAUAUGAGUGAAUGAAGAGUUCUAUGAAUGGUUUAUGAAUAAAUACAUAAAUUUACUGUGUCAUAUAUAAUGCAGAAAAUAUUUUGUCUAAACAUCAAGAAAAUCACAAGUCCCCCUUUAUGAUUUCUUUGUUUGUUAAUAGGAACAACAUUGGAAGAUACAAAAUCAGAGCAGUGAAAAAAAUCAUCAUUAUUGAACAUUCUGGAACACACUGGAUGGAUAGAAUAUAGGAAAGAAUGACAGGGAAGGUUCAUGUCUAACCCAGGUGAUUUUUAUGCACAUUGAUUAUAUCUUUAGGAGGCUUCUUUUCCCUUACAAUGAGGAUUAAAGUUAGGAUUAGGGUAAAGGGAGCUUCUUAAAAUACAAGGUGUCACUCCUGGGAUAUAAUUGCCUCACCUGAAAAGAAGGUGAAAGUUACUUCUUCUCCUUUGAGUCAGGAACUGGUGAUCUCCCUCCCUCCCCUUCAUACACUUCCCCAACUCUUGCCACACACACAACUCCCAAGGCAUCCAUGAAUUGAAAGAUUUAUAUGAACUCUUACAAAGGAUAUGACUGUUUUCAUACAAGCGGUUUCUCUACCCACUCAUCUCCCAAGGAAGUUCCUUAACAGGUAGCAAAUUGAGGCAAGGGAUUGAGACUAAUACUCAAAAGGCAUUUUAGAGAGGUUCACCUCAGAAUGUUUUAGGAAAGAAAAAAAAGAUCUAUUUCUCUCUCUCUCUCUCGAUAGAUAGAUAGAUAGAUAGAUAGAGAUAGAUAGAUCAACAGAUAGAUAUAACUUUCCACUAUAGAAAAGACUUGCAAGUUUUUUUAUUUUUUUUAAACUCUUAGGCUAGUUAAAAUAUUUUCUUCUACUUUCCUUUUUCCCAGUUUGGUAAUAAAUGUGGGUCAAUUCUCACAGAAUUCUGUUUAAAAACAAAAAUAAAACAGAUAAAAUGCCUCUAGGAGCACAAUUGGGUAGAAAUUAAUCAAAGAACCCAGCUCCUCUGAGCCAAGCUGCCACACAGCCCACUAAGCCCCAAAGUGGGGAUUUCCAUUCAAAUAGUUGCAAAAUAGUCUUUGAUACUUUAUAUUCUUUAUUCAUGGUAGCCUUGUUACUUCAGUCAAACAGAAAAAAUCCUGUCUUCUCUAAUGAAAAGGAAAUUAAAUUAAAUUUAAAAGAAGGGCAGUUUGUUGUUUGUUGUUAGACAAUAGACACUAGGAGGGUAAUGAAGUAAAUGCAGAAAAGAAAGAUGUAGGACAGAAUUUCCCAUUUUUUCCCCACAGAACUCUAGUUAAGCCAGAUGCUCCAAGAAAAGUGUGCUCCACAGUGGAACACAGCUCUGUAGUUCUGCAUAGACUGUCCUCUCAGGGAACACAAGAUGUUCAUUAAAAUCAUAAAGGCCCCAAAAUACUAUGGCAAAGAAAUCCAUUGAACCCAGUUUUUCCAAAAUUUAUGAGUCCAUAAAGCCUUUUAAAGUGUAAUACACAUGAUAAUCCUGAAGAGUUAGUGAUACGGAAUCUGCCUGGAGCAUUCCUGGACGAAAAGUGCAAACACAUCUAAGUGUACACACAGCCAGGCCCCAGGGAAAUGGCAUCGCUUAGAGGUAAUCAAAGCCUUUGGUAGAAAACAUAACCUUAUGAUGCUCAGAGCAUGGAAAAAAGAAAUUACAUAGGCUGGGAACCAUGUACCCCACCACUUAGGGGUAGUUGGAAUUAGAAAGAAUUAAAACAAAGUCAAGAAACUGAAAACAAAAUCUUAAUUAUUAAAUUUACUAGACUAUAUUGUUAAUUAAGCUGUCUGGUGGUAUCAGAUACACGUUCUCUAGUAUAAAAGUAUUUAGAUCACAAUAUUUGUUUUAGUAAACUUUGAAUGCUGAGUUCCAUCUGUCUUUGCAAAACUGUACUUCAACAGAAUACUAAUGGUGAGGGUAGCAGGCUCACAAAGCUUCUUGGACAUUAAAUUUCUUUUACAAAACAAUAAUUUGUUGAAUUAAGUGCCAAUGGAACAGAUGGAUUAAAUUUCCCUCACAAUGAGCACAAAUUAAAAAAUUAAAGAGAAAAAAAAUACUUGGUAAAACCAGCUUUGUAUUUUGCUGGAUCUAAAACAUUUAGGAAAAUGGUUUGAGAUGUUUGGCUAAAGCCCAGUGCCACCAAGCCUGCCUGGCUCCAGACACCAGUCCCAUUUACUGAGGAUUUCUAUUAAGCAAACAGAUGGGCGGGUGGUUUAUUACCAAUUUCUCCACAAAUGUGAAGCUUGAAUGUAAUAUUUCUGGAAGGACAAAAGUCAUACACUUCAUGCUUGUACAAAGGUGGGUUGAGAUCUUUGAAAAUAACCUAUGAUAGGGAAUUAAUUUUUAAAGACAUUAAUUGUAUCAGUAUAAGAUAAAAGAGAAAGAGGUACCUAAAAAAAAAGUUAAAAAAUUGGGAGCAUGUUUUAUGUGUAGCUCAAAUUUCUGAAGCCAUUAUUGUGAAUAUAAUUACUCAGGUGCUAUUUAGAAUAACAUGUAAUUUUAUGAAACAUAUUUAGGAAAAAAGCAAAGAUUUUGUUAAUGCACACUUUUUUUAAAAAAAUAUUAAUGGAAUUUAUUUUUAGAGCAGUUGUAGUUUCACCAAAAAACUGAGUGAAAAGUACGGAAUUCCUGUAAAGAAAUGCCCUAUUCUCGCCACUCAGCCACCCCAUUAUGACACCCCUCUCCAGCAUAGUGCAUUUCUUAGGAUUAGUGAACCUACACUGGCACAUUAUUAUCAAGCUUGUAGUUUACAUAAGUUUCAGUUUGUGUAUGCUCUUAACAAGGAGGUAACUUGUUAUUCUGUAUUAAUUAUCUUAUCUCCAACCACUAACAAUGACGCUAAGUGUAUUGUUAGUGGGUAUUUGAAAUUAAAGGAGACUGGAACUAAUUUUUGUGCUUGUUUUGAAAGCAAUAAUUUAUAAACUUCAUUAAUUUAUUCAAUUUCAAGAAAAAAUAAAUUGCAGAAGAACAUAAGUCUUACAUACUAACUCAUCCCAAGAAGGAGACAAACCUCAUAAAUUAUUGAAUACCAUUCUAAUUUGAAAUUUUUCUAAUAUGUUGAACUCUUAAGUGUGUCAACCACAUGUCCUCUCUUUCAUUAGGGAGAUAUACAUGUGGCAAGAACUUUGAUGCUGAGAUUCUGAGUCCAGAGACUGAAAUUCAGUUUCUUGAAUUAUGAUGCCUCUCUUGAUCCAUAUACUGGAUAGAACAAAAUAUCUAAGGGAGAGCUUAAAAACCAUGACCCAUUCAUUUUCUGAGCAUGCUGUUGCUGAAGGUCUGGUGUACCCAGUGACCACUGCAUUCCCAUUACAACCCAAAGAAUCAUUAUAGUAUUUGCAAUGCCCCAAAAUUUUGGACAUACAGGAUUUUUUAUAAGUAGAGAGAGCUAAAAACUCACUCGCACAUGUCAUCUCAUCUGGGGUGGAAGCUUUCUGUGUUUAUUUGGGUUUUAUUACUUCUCUAUUAUUUUUGCACAUCAUAGUAAGGAUAACAGAAAAUAUUUUUUUUUAUUUUUUUCAAAUCAGACAAUAUAGAUAAAAAACCCAGAACAACAUAAUAUUCAAUUUCAGUUCCCAAUAACAUGAUAAAAACCUCCCUGCCCUUCUGUCUCUGUCUCUGUCUCUCUCUCCCUCUCUUCCUCACUUACUCUUUAUUGUUACUUUCCCAAAUUCAUAUUCCCUCAUCCUUGAAAUAACCUUCAGCCUCCAAUUUUGGCUCUCAUCGUCACAUUGGCCAUAAUUUGGUCUAGGAUUCCAGGGUUAAAGCACUUGGUUCAGGUUUAGCCAAUCUAGCACCUGGACAUCUACCUCUUACUCCCUAUCCCCCAAUUCAUAGUGGUGAGUAGAGAACUGGUCUGUGACCAGAUCUUUUCCAAACUGGAUUUUCUGCUAUGCAAACCAACACAUUAUCUUUUUAGCUUAAGUUUAUUUGAGUUUGUUUUCUUCUCAUUUGAAAAAACACUCUUGGUACAACCUUUCAGACAUUUUCUUGCUGCUAUUCAUACAUACAUGCUUAUUUAAUGCAAUUACUUCUAUGAAUUAAGUUUUCCAGCAACUGAGAGAGCUUAUCCUCAGUGAUUUUAAUUUUGUAAUACAAUUUAUAGACUUAGAAUGAAAGUUAAUACUAUAUUAAGAACAUUAAAAAAAAAAAACAGGCAUGGUGGCGCAUAGCUGCAGUCCCAGCAGCUUAGGAGGCUGAGGCAGGAGGAUCGCUAGUUCAAAGCCAAUCUCAGCAAUCGCAAGAGCUAAGCAACUCAGUGAGACUCUCUCUCUAAAUAAAAUACAAAAUAGGGCUAGGGACGUGGCUCAGUAGUCAAGUACCUCUGAGUUCAAUCCUGGUACUCCCCUCCCAAGGAGUGGGGGGGGACAUAGAAAGGUCCUGAUAACUUCCUUAGACUGUUUUGUUUUUCUAAAACACCUGCAACUUUGGAAGACUUUUUUUUUUUUUUGGUAAAUUUUCUGCUUUGAUAUACAGUAUUGCAAUGCAGAAAAGAUCACUGGCUUUUAAAAUAGUCUUGCUCUAUGUUCUCUUAAUUGCUUCUCAUAUUUGAGUGCCAUUUAUUUGGAAUACAACCCAUUAAUUUUAAUUUUAGCCUCAAUUUCUCAUUAAAAUCAUCUUGACUUGGACAAACAAACAUGGAUUGAAUAUUUUUUUUUAAAAAAGCACAUGUCCUGUUUUAAACAUAUUUAGUCUAUAAAUUCACAAUCUCUUCUUAAUUCUGUAUGAGAACUACAGCUUCCUUGUUCCUCUUUCAACUACUUAGGUGAGCACAUUUCUAAUCAAGCCACUGUAGGUGUUCAAUAUGAUCAUAUUUAGAGAGUAGCUUAUAGAUACAAAGAAUGAAGUAAACAUCAGCUUUAAGAAUUCCAAACUUACCUUCACUCUUCUCCUUUAUCCACCUCAACCGUGCUGGUAUAUAGGAUAAGUGACCUGAGAAAAGAAAUGAGAUCAUUUCUGGCCUUUCCUUCUGAAUACUCUACUGAAUAUUUAUUUUUUGACAACUUUUAAUAUUUAACAGGAAAGAGAAAAAAACUACAGUUCUUGAUCACUCUGAGGAGAUGAGAAUGACUUAAUCAGGAGAAUCCACAUGGAUAUCAUGAAAAGAAACAGAAAAAACUAAAGUCUUCUAUAGUUAAGAAUACUAAUAUGACUGAAAUGUUUUAAAAGAUUAUUGAUUUUAAAGUGUUCUUUAAUAUGAAAACAACAUUGAUUGUGAGAAAACAUGUGAGCAAAUAUUUGUUAUUUAUCCAUGAGUAGAUCAAGACAAUUAGUAACAAACUGAGUUCUAAUUUUUUAUAUCAGCUUUAAUAUUUUAUCCUCCAAAGAGAAAAACGUCAUCAUCAUUUGGCACCCACAAAUAGAAUUUGUAAUCAAAGUUGUUUUUGGCAGACUAGCACAACACAGGAAGCCAGUGGACUGGGCCAAAUAUUUUAGUAGUCUGAGUAAAAUUUCCCCAAAUCUAUUAGCAAUUGGGAAACAAGUUUUACUAAAGCAAAGUAAACAUCCUCAAAUGUACCACUGGUCUCCCAGAAAUUGAAAGUUGCAUAGAGUAGGGGUCUAAAGGACUAAGCUUAAAGCUUCUGGUGAGAACCCAGUCUCUUGUUUAAGGUUCUCAAUUAAUAUCUUUGAAGAGCCAUUCCUUGAUGACCACUGACAAAUUCAAGAAAGACUGCUGUGUCUUGCUGUAACUAUAAUAUUGUGCUAACCCUUCUGUUAAAAUAAUCAAGCUGUCACCUUAUCUACCCAAUAGGUAAAUGGGAAUAACUAGCAGAUAGAAAUACCUUUGGAGGCCAAAAUUCUCUAACACACAUACAGUUGCAUAUUUCUAGACAUACAGAAAAAGUGACAUUAUAAAAGAAAAACAGAAAAAAAUAUAUAUAUUGUGGAUAGGAAGCAUGGGGUAAAUAAAUAGGUAUAAUUGAUAUGUCAAUAUAGAGGAAAACAAAUCUAAUAAAGAGAUGGAGAAUUCCAGAGACAUAAAAUCUACCUAUGUAAAAACAUCAGUCAUUAGUAUGUCGUGGGAUGAGCUGAGUAGGAGAUGUGUCACAAGCAGAAGACAAGGAUAAUGAACUUAAAGAGAAGUCAAUAGAACAUAGGCAAAGAGGAGCAGAGGAAGAAACUAAAGGGGGGAAAAAGGAAACAUAAGAAAAUUUGGGAGCAUAACAAAAGGGUAAAAAUAUAGUCAUUGAUGUCUCAGAAGAAAAAUAGAGAACUUGACCAAAGCAGUUUUCAAAGAGAUGAGGCCAAUUAUUACCGAAAAACACCAACCACUAGAUUUAUGAAGGUCCCUGAAUCCCAAGUUGGAUAAAUAUAAACAAGAGCACACUAUGUGUAUUUUAGUCAUAGCAAUGAAAAAAUGAAAGUAAAGCGAAAAUCUUAAAUCUGUUAGAGAAGGCCAAAAAGAAAUAUUACUUUCAAAGAAGAAAUAAUAAUAAGAUUAACAGUUGACUAUUCAGCAGAAAUUAUAAAAAACAGAAGAGAAUGAAACAGCAUCCUUAAAGUACUGAAGAAAUAAAAUGCCAACUAAAGUUCUAUGCAUGGGAAAAUAUUCUUUAAAAAUGAAAACUAGAUAGGAUGAUUUCAGUUAAUAAAGGCUAAAACUUUGUUGCAAGCAGAGUAGUUUUACCAAACACACACACACACACACACACACACACAAAGAUGAAAUCAUUCACGUUAAAGGAAAGAAAUUCAAGAAGGAUAUAGAGCAAAGAAAAGAGUAAAUGUGUAUGUAAAUAUAUUUUUGAAAAAUCAGCAUCUAAGAUAGCAGUAAUAUCUUAGGAUGUUUCUAUCAAUCUAACACAAUUAAACAGAGACAUUUAUAAAUCACAGAGUUAAGUGCAUGUCAUAGCUUAAAAUAUAUAUAAAGAAAUAUAGAAAUAAUAAUUCGAGAUUUUUAUUUAAUAUGCCUGUCUCAAUGACUGACAGAAGUAGUAGAUAAGAGAUAUAGAAGAUUUGAGCAACAUGAUCAGUAAUUUUAUUUAAUUGAUAUUUACAGAACACUGCACUAAAAAAUGAAUUUUUAAUAUUAUUUUGAAGCUCAAAUAGGUUGUUUGUCAAAAUAGACCAUUUACUGUCCAUAAAGUGAAUCUCAAUAGUUUCAAAAGAUUUAAAUAACACAGAAUAUAUUCUCUGACUACAAUGGAAAUAAACUAAAAAUAAAUAAUAACAUUUUAACUAGAAAAUUCUCCAAUAUAUGGAAAUCUAAUAAUACAAUUUUAAAUAAACAUGAUAAAAGGAGAAAUCACAAUGAAAGUAGAAAAUAUUUUAACCUGAAAGCUAAUGAUAACAGGACCUAAACACUAUGGUAGGCAGAUAAAGUAGUACACAUUGUGAAGUUUAUAGGUCUAAAUUCAAAUUAAAAAGGGUGAUUAUAGUUCAAUGAUAUAAACUUCUAUUUAAGUAAUUCGGGAGAAUUUCAAAGUAAAUUAAAAAAAAAAGAAAUAAAAUAAAAAACAAAAGAGCAAAUUUUAGUGAAAUGGAAAUAGGUUUCCAAUAAUCAACAAAACCAAAUAGGCAUUUUGAAAAGAUCAAUAAUAUUAAUAAGCUAUUUUAAAGAAAAUAAUCCAGAAAACAAGAGAGAAAAGGCAAAUUACUAAUAUCAGGAAUGAAUGUAAAAAUAUCAGUGAAAGGUUUUAGACAUUGAAAACAUAAUGAGACACUAUCCAUCACUUUAUGCCAGCAAGUUUGAUAAUUUAAAUGAAAAAAGAAAAAUUUCUUAAAAAUACUUUGGCAUAAUAGUGACAAAAAGAAACUCUGAAUUUGAAUCUACAGUUAAAUUGCUUUUCUCAAGAACAUUUUGGCCCAGAAGUUCUUACUGAUGAAAUUGUUCCAAAAAUUUAAGAAGAAUAUUGUUUGUGAUCUUUUUUUUUUUUUUGGAAAUAUAUCCUAUCCUAAUUUAUGAGACUAGCAUGACCUCAAACUGAAACCCCAUUUUAAUUUAAAGUUAAGAAAAGGCAAAAGUUUUCCUCAAGUGCUUUGCUAAAUGAAUGAUUUAAAUGGGUUUAAACAUUUUAAUAAUUUUUCUGAAUGAAAAGUUUAUGACUCCUUCCAAAGAUUGUUCCAGUACUUGAUACUGUCUCUACAUAAAUAGAAACCUUUGGCAGUUAUCCAAAUAUUAGACAAGAACAAAAUGAUAAAAUUUGACCCAUUUCAUAUUAAUAAAAUAUAUUCCUGUUUAGCAUUGAAAAAUGACUCAAUAUUUUUUUCUUUUUUUUGCCUCAAUGUAGUUUGCUGACAUAAAAUGAAUAUUUAUGUGUGAGUCAAAUUCUGCUUUAACAUGCUCAGUUGGUUGGGUAGAGUACUAGAAUUUGGAGAACAUGAUACUAGAGAAUCUUUACUAUGUACUAGUCACUGGAGGGAAAAGUUUUAGAUCCAUGUCAAGUGAGGUAAUAAGUUUGUUAAAAACUUUUUCACCUAUAUAUUUACAUAAUAAGUCUUUAUGUUUUUCAUUUAUUAUUUGAAAACUGCCUGUUUUAAACAACAGGCAGAUAUUAGCAGCAACAAUUGGCUCAAAAUAUUUUGUUUGUUUCUAUUUAGGUGGGGUUUUUUCCUUUUAAUUAUUUCACAUGAAGUGUUGUUCUACUUAGUAUAAGAUGAUUAGAUAGCUAUAAAUAUGCUAUUUUAAGCAUAUAAUCAUUAUAAUUAAAUAAUUACUUAAAAUAUGAAAAGUUUUUACUAAUGAGGAAUUAAAAAUGGCAAUAUCUUUCUAUAGAAAGGGAAGUAGAAUACAAAAAACAGCUAUCCAGUAUGUGGCAUACACAAACAGGAAAGAUACCAAAGAGGGUUUCAUUUAUAUAUAUAUAUAUAUAUAUAUAUAUAUAUUUAUUUAUUUAUUUCAAAGGUUAAAAUGAGUUAAAUAUAUUAAAUGGUGAAAAGUGUAAGAACUUUGUCUUCAAUAAAGCACUUUUUUUUCCCUUAAUAAAAACAUUAUCUAGUGCACUUUCCUGUAAGCUGCUCUGCCAUCUUAUAUUACUAUACACAUCUUUCUAUUCCAUAUACUUAUAGAUAUACAUACCAACAUAUUUGUGCUUGAUACAUGUAUGUCCCAGUUUUGGUGAAGCAUAAAUUAAUUUAUAAUUAAUUCUAUAUUUUAGGAAAUUUUUUGCCUUUCUAAUUUUUUUUCAAUUUGGUAAACUGUGAAUUAUAUGUAAUUAAUAUAUUUACAAUGAAAUAUUUUCCUAGAUCCAUGAUGAUUUUAGGGAAAAUUUCUCAGAAUUUUGUGUACUUGUAUUUUAAUGAAUAAGUUGCUUUUUUUUUCCAAAACAUAUCUAGACUAAGCAAAAUAAGUACACCGUAUACUAUAACCAACAAAGAAUACCAAACUUCAUAUAUAUAAUUUUUUUCCUUGACUUAUUUUCUUUUUAAAUUUUAACAUUGGUUUUUAAUUUACAAAAGUCUAGUUUUACUUUGAGGGAGAUAGGACGUGAGGAUGAAAUCUUUCCAUCUUUUUCUUUAUGACUUCUGCCCUUGAUAGUAUAUUUAGAUAGGUCUUUCUUACCUUAAUAUACAUAUUCCCUACAUUUCAUUUUAGUACUUAUGUGGUAUUAUUUCAAACACAUAAGUCAUAUUCAAGAUCAUGGAAUCUAUUAUUGUUUGAAUCUUGAAGGUCCCACAGAGGACCAGAUAUUAAAGUCUGAGUCCCCAAGGUCACACCAUUGGGAGGCAAUAAAAAACUUUGAGAGAUGGAGCCUUGUGGGUCCUUUGGUCACCCAGGAAGUGCACUUGAAGCAGAUUAUGGGAACCUAGUCUUUACCUCUUUCUCUCUUUGUUUCUUGGCCAUGAGGAGAAGUUUUACAGUAUCAUGUGCUCCGACCAUGAUGCCUUGCCACAGGUUCAAAGCAAGGAGCCAACCAAUCAUGGGUUGGAAUCUCCAAUACUGAGACAAAAUAGACCUUUUCUCCUGAAAGGUUGUUUAUCUCAAAUAUUUGUUACAUGACAGAAAACUAACUAAAAGCAUAUAUACCCCAUUUUUAGAUAUUCUUUUUUGAUACUUUGUAAGGAAAUGCAAUGUACAUACUAAAAUAAUUAUGGUAAGUCUCUUAUAUGGUCAUGUAUAUUUUUCAUUGCUAUUAUGAAUGGAGUAUGUUCAUCAUUAUUUCUGAAAUUUAAGGAAUACAUAGAUAUUUUUGUAUAUUCCUCUUCCUCUCUGUUGACCAUUACCAAAUAUUUCAUUGGUUGCAAAAAAUUUCAUAACGGAUUUCCUUGAGAUUCUCUGAAAUUUCUCUUGAGCUACUAAAAUGUGGAUUAGGCUCAUAGAUUUCACCUAAUAUAUGAAAUGCCUGAUGGGUGUUGUACACCAUCCCAAGCAUAACUAGAAAGUGACUAACAUACAGUAAACAUAGUCAUUAAAAGCCUAGAAAUGCUUAAUAUCAUUCAGCAAGGAGCAAUCAAAUGCCAUUUUCAAAGUAUACACAAAGAGUAUGUGGCAAUGAAGAUCAAAAGAUCUGAGAGUGGUGAGGUAAAUUAUUUCUGUCAGGCACAGGUCAGAUGAGGUUAAUGAUCAAAUGUUUAUAAAAGGAGAUCAGCUUUUGGUCAGAGUCAGAGGCUAACACGAAUAGUAGGGCCAGAUGGAUUCUGUGAAGCAGCAGCUCAGAAUUUAAUAUCUCCGAAUCCCUAUAGAAAACCAGGCAAAGCAAUUGAAUACAAACUGAAAACUUUUGGAGAACCUUAACAACAAAACUAGUUUAUAAGGUAUUUCUAUGAACCACAAAACACAAAGUUCAAGGAACAAAUUCCCAACAGCUAAAAGACCUAGAUUGUAUCAGAGUCUACAUGAGAAGAAGCAGAAAGAGGUAGCAUAACAUUUAAUGAUGUCAGUUCAAGAGAAUAUCCAAAUAGCUCAUAAUGUUAUUUUAAAGGACAAUGGUAUAAUUUGAGAACAGCAGUGUGAACUAGCAGUGCAACACAUGAACUCUGUUAAGUUUUAUGUUGCUGCUAUAACAUCACAAACAUAGUGGUUUAAAAUAAUAAAAACUUAUUAUCCCACAGAGCUGUAGGUCAAAAUCCUAUAGGCCCAGAUAUUUCUCUACUCCAGAUCCACGUGAUCAAAAUCAAGACGUUUGAAGGGCUGACUUCCUUACUGGAGACUCUCAAGGGUGACUCUGUUUCCUGUCUGGUUUAGUUUACUGGCAGAAUCUCCCGUGACUGUUGGAGUAAAUUCCUCACUUCCUCAUUGACUACUGACCAUGAGUCAUUCUCAGCUUCUAGAAACUGCUCAUAUCCUUGGUUUCGUCUCCUUCCUCUGUUUUCAAAGACUGCAAUCACAAAUCAGAUCUUCUCAUAUUUCAAAUACAUCUAAAUUCUCCCCUAUUGAACCUCUGUGGGUUCAAGUUUGAUAAGUUUUUCUGCUUUUAAGGUGGUUGUGAUUAGAUUUGAGUUCACCUUAAAAAUUCAGGAUAAUCUUCCUAUUUUUAAAAUUAGUCCCUUAAUAACCUUAACCACAUCUGUGGGGUUCCUUUUCAAAAGUAUUUAGAUUAGUGUCUGGUUAUAUAACUACUUAAUAGAAAUUUUGUGGGUCAUCUCUAGAAUUCUCCCUGUCCUAGGAUAUGUGGUAAUUUCUGAAAGGAUUGGAGUAGUCUGAGAUAAACGAACUUGCAAAACCAAUCAGGUAAAGUUCUUUUCCAGAAAAGGCACCUAAUGAAAAAAAAAAAAAACUGCUGAGUGGAGACAAAAUUGAAUAAGAUACAGGCAGAAGAUACAAAUAAAAGAGAAAAUCUAGAUUAAAGUGUGGGAGAAUAAAGAGACACAGUAGUGUGCAUAAACAGAUAUAGAUGCAUUUCCCUGUAACUGUUCAAUAAAAACACCCAGAGGAAAAAAAAUUACAAGUUCUGGGCAGUUAGAUUUUGAUUUUAAAAUAUGACUUGCCACUUAAAGAAAUCAAAGCUUUAAUGAAAAAUAGAUAAUUUCAAGUGUGAAGGGGAAAAUAAAGAGGGCAAAUCUGGAACACUUGAUAAAUACUAAGGUUAUGUUAGAAAGGUUUAGACCAAUCAGAUAGGUAUCCAUGGAAGAAUUUAAUUUUCAAAAUCAUAACACUUUUAAUUCAUUAUCUUGGAAAUUGGUACAUAAAAGGAAAAUAAUCAAGUAAUUAUCUUGGCUUUCCUAUACAAACUAUACUAUGCAGUUAACAAACAACAUAAUAGGGAAGUCAUUUCUUUGUGAAAUUAUUUCAGGUAGUACAUGAAAGGGAAAUUUUAUGAAUAUUACUGUUUUGUAAUUUCUGGUAACCUAAAAGAUCCAGGCAUUGAGCAUCAAUGGCUGGUAACAUCUAGGUGAAACAACCAAUUCUGAUAAACCCAGCAUUAAAUGUAACCUUGCCAAAUUGAUAAACACAUUUUAACACAAAUUUGGUUUCACCUGUCAAUCAGCAGGAAACACAAUGGACAAAUCAUGCUAUGUUUGAUCACGACGUCACCAAAAUCCAGACUAUGGGAAACUUCCAGAGGGAAUUAUGAAGAUUCUUCAACAGAACUGGAAAAAAGAGAAAGGAAUGGAAGAAGGAACUAGUCAAUUAAUAAAGGAUUAAAAGACAGUUCUUUAAAACAAAGAUAGGUAAUACUCAACUAUUGUACCUAGUGAUGCACAAUUGGGAGAUAAAAUUAUUUAAAAAUGC
RNAcentral lists this long non-coding RNA (19026 nucleotides) under Marmota monax (woodchuck). The record is from RNAcentral. Lineage: Eukaryota; Metazoa; Chordata; Mammalia; Rodentia; Sciuridae.